ACGACCUUACUUGAACAGGAUCUGUUCUAUAGGCUCGUACCUCUGUAUCCUUGACUUCUAAGGAGAUAGGAAACCAUGUCUGGUGGAUGACCUCUGGCUGCUCGACCAGAGCGUGACUAACAGCACCUAGGGGCUCGACCUUGUUGGUGCCGUAGAUGAUCGUUCUUGGUUGGCUUCGGCUGGCCGAGAUGGUCUUGCAGCUGUCUGACAGACU
Small nucleolar RNA from Salvia miltiorrhiza (redroot sage), 214 nucleotides. RefSeq annotates it as small nucleolar RNA U3. The transcript has a single exon. NCBI's taxonomy places the organism in Eukaryota, Viridiplantae, Streptophyta, Magnoliopsida, Lamiales, Lamiaceae. The record is from RefSeq and is a predicted model, not a curated record.